GGGCAUAUGGUAUAGCCAGGAUAUUAUCGAGGUUUCCGGAACCUUUGACCCGGGUUCGAAUCCCGGUAUGCCCU
This 74-nucleotide transfer RNA is filed under the name Thermoplasmatales archaeon. RNAcentral describes it as "tRNA-Arg". It matches the Rfam family "tRNA". Rfam says of the family: Transfer RNA (tRNA) molecules are approximately 80 nucleotides in length. Their secondary structure includes four short double-helical elements and three loops (D, anti-codon, and T loops). Lineage: Archaea; Methanobacteriati; Thermoplasmatota; Thermoplasmata; Thermoplasmatales. The record is from RNAcentral.